Molecule: ribosomal RNA, 493 nt
Filed under: uncultured bacterium
Lineage: Bacteria
Description: partial 16S ribosomal RNA
Rfam family: Bacterial small subunit ribosomal RNA
Source: RNAcentral
AUUGAACGCUGGCGGCAUGCUUUACACAUGCAAGUCGAACGGUAACAGGUUAAGCUGACGAGUGGCGAACAGGUGAGUAAUGCAUCGGAACGUGCCCGAUCGUGGGGGAUAACGCAGCGAAAGCUGCGCUAAUACCGCAUACGAUCUGAGGAUGAAAGCGGGGGACCGUAAGGCCUCGCGCGAUCGGAGCGGCCCAUGUCAGAUUAGGUAGUUGGUGGGGUAAAGGAUCACCAAGCCAACGAUCUGUGGCUGGUCGGAGAGGACGACCAGCCACACUGGGACUGAGACACGGCCCAGACUCCUACGGGAGGCAGCAGUGGGGAAUUUGGGACAAGGGGCGAAAGCCUGAUCCAGCAAUGCCGCGUGCAGGAAGAAGGCCUUCGGGUUGUAAACUGCUUUUGUACGGAGCGAAAAGGCCCUCUCUAAUACAGUGGGCUCAUGACGGUACCGUAAGAAUAAGCACCGGCUAACUACGUGCCAGCAGCCGCCGUAA